RNAcentral lists this ribosomal RNA (594 nucleotides) under Lactobacillus gasseri. RNAcentral's name for it is "bacterial SSU rRNA". It matches the Rfam family "Bacterial small subunit ribosomal RNA", at positions 388 to 973 of the family's 1533-position model. The record is from RNAcentral. Lineage: Bacteria; Bacillati; Bacillota; Bacilli; Lactobacillales; Lactobacillaceae.
GGAGCAACGCCGCGUGAGUGAAGAAGGGUUUCGGCUCGUAAAGCUCUGGUUGGUAGUGAAGAAAGAUAGAGGUAGUAACUGGCCUUUAUUUGACGGUAAUUACUUAGAAAGUCACGGCUAACUACGUGCCAGCAGCCGCGGUAAUACGUAGGUGGCAAGCGUUGUCCGGAUUUAUUGGGCGUAAAGCGAGUGCAGGCGGUACAAUAAGUCUGAUGUGAAAGCCUUCGGCUCAACCGGAGAAUUGCAUCAGAAACUGUUGAACUUGAGUGCAGAAGAGGAGAGUGGAACUCCAUGUGUAGCGGUGGAAUGCGUAGAUAUAUGGAAGAACACCAGUGGCGAAGGCGGCUCUCUGGUCUGCAACUGACGCUGAGGCUCGAAAGCAUGGGUAGCUUUCAGGAUUAGAUACCCUGGUAGUCCAUGCCGUAAACGAUGAGUGCUAAGUGUUGGGAGGUUUCCGCCUCUCAGUGCUGCAGCUAACGCAUUAAGCACUCCGCCUGGGGAGUACGACCGCAAGGUUGAAACUCAAAGGAAUUGACGGGGGCCCGCACAAGCGGUGGAGCAUGUGGUUUAAUUCGAAGCAAGCGAAGAACCUUA